AUUUAAAUAGCUUAAACCAGAGCAGAAUUGUGAAGAGAUUCAGGUGAGAUAAUCUUUAAAUG
This 62-nucleotide transfer RNA is filed under the name Antrokoreana gracilipes. Its description in RNAcentral is "tRNA-Phe". The record is from RNAcentral. Lineage: Eukaryota; Metazoa; Arthropoda; Diplopoda; Julida; Nemasomatidae.